UGCCAGGCGUAUCUGCCGCGGCGACCCCGAGAAAAGUGCCACAGACAACACGCCAGAAGGAGAUGCUCGUAUCCGCCGAUCCUUUGAGCGUGUCCUCUCCCGGCCGGUUCGACCAAUGGAAAGCCGAGCCAUCGGGAGUGGGAGAAACGGACAUAGGACCGGGAAGAAGGACGGAGCGCCAUUUUCACUCUUGAUUUUGACUUUUUUGGUUGAGGUGCUAAAUAGCAGAAGACACCGGUUGAUUUUUUGGACGAAUCGACGGAAGGAGCCGGAGAGACGAGGAGACCGACCCGACAAGCCUCAGAAAGAAGUUCGGCAAAUUUCUCCUGGUUAAAAAGGACACCGGCGCACCUCGAGGGAGCGUAUCCCCAGUAGGCAUAAACAGGAAGGCGACGAGAGACGCCCGGGACACAUCGAAGGACCAGGCUUGAUUUUUUCCUUUUUGUUUUGAAUCCAUAAGAACAGCAUUGUGUAAAUUUUAUUUUAGAGACAUUAGGGACGGAGAUUACCAGACCGUCGACCUUUAAGUCGAAGUUGCGGGUUCUCGGGAUUAGAAUGUCGGCUUAAGCAGAAUGGUUAAGAGAGCUUCGUAUGGAACUUUGGGCAGCGGGAUCAGAUAAUUUUUUGACAAAAAGAAUGUUGAAGUCGUAGUGAAUAGUGAGGUUACUGGAGCAGUAAGAUUGUAACUGAUAAUAUUGGGACAUACGGGAAAGUCUGCUGUAAAAAUGGUGUACAGGAUGGGAUCAAGAACGCUCCCUUGUGGAACGCCGGCUUGUAUUGGUCUAAUAUCUGAGUUCAUUGCUGCACCUCACUCAGAAGCUGAAAAGGAUAAGAUAAUAAGAACUGGGUAUAAAACGUUUAA
Cimex lectularius (bed bug) is the source of this 862-nucleotide long non-coding RNA. RefSeq lists it as uncharacterized. The transcript is spliced from 4 exons. NCBI's taxonomy places the organism in Eukaryota, Metazoa, Arthropoda, Insecta, Hemiptera, Cimicidae. The record is from RefSeq and is a predicted model, not a curated record.